This 448-nucleotide ribosomal RNA is filed under the name uncultured bacterium. RNAcentral describes it as "partial 16S ribosomal RNA". It matches the Rfam family "Bacterial small subunit ribosomal RNA", at positions 330 to 793 of the family's 1533-position model. The record is from RNAcentral.
UCCAGACUCCUACGGGAGGCAGCAGUGGGGGAUAUUGCACAAUGGGGGGAACCCUGAUGCAGCGACGCCGCGUGGGUGAAGGAGCGUUUCGGCGCGUAAAGCCCUAUCGGCAGGGAAGAAGGAGGACGGUACCUGACUAAGAAGCCCCGGCUAACUACGUGCCAGCAGCCGCGGUAAUACGUAGGGGGCAAGCGUUAUCCGGAUUUACUGGGUGUAAAGGGGGCGCAGACGGCAGCGCAAGCCAGGAGUGAAAGCCCGGGGCCCAACCCCGGGACUGCUCUUGGAACUGCGCGGCUGGAGUGCAGGAGGGGCAGGCGGAAUUCCUGGUGUAGCGGUGAAAUGCGUAGAUAUCAGGAGGAACACCGGUGGCGAAGGCGGCCUGCUGGACUGCAACUGACGUUGAGGCCCGAAAGCGUGGGGAGCAAACAGGAUUAGAUACCCGUGUAAA